Long non-coding RNA from Uloborus diversus, 407 nucleotides. RefSeq lists it as uncharacterized. The record is from RefSeq and is a predicted model, not a curated record. Lineage: Eukaryota; Metazoa; Arthropoda; Arachnida; Araneae; Uloboridae. The transcript is spliced from 4 exons.
UUAUAGCUGUUUUUCAUGUGGUAGUGAUUGCAGCUUAUGUGAAUUGUUCUACAGCCACUUGCCAACAUGAAGUCACGUGUCCGUGCGGAACGACGGGACUGAACAUUACUUUUUGCUCAAAACAAAUGUCAGAAAGUAACGACACCUGUCAACAAUGGGCUGGCUGCAAAAGGUGUCACCCAGAAGUCGAUCACUGUAUAGAAUGUCCUGACGGAUACACAGGUCCCACAUGUCAAGAGGCCAACGUUGACCUUCUUGUCCGUCUCAAGAGGGAUUUCAAGUUUUCCAGGUCUGGGUCAAUUUCAAGAAAAAGGGUCACACUUUCUUCUGCAGGUUCUGAAAACUGUCCCAGCCUCAAGAAUACGGGGCUGAUUGCUCUGCGAUGCACAGACGAUGGAAGUGUGAGG